AGCUUUGCACAGCGGCAGUAUCGUAGUCAAUGAGGUUUAUCUGAGGCGCGAUUAUUGCUAAUAGAAGAGAUGUGACAGACGGCAGGAUGUGGGAGGACAGAGAGGACAGAGGGAGCUCUCCAUCUUGGAAAUUUUCUGAAAGAGUCCACUC
Molecule: small nuclear RNA, 151 nt
Filed under: Zalophus californianus (California sea lion)
Lineage: Eukaryota; Metazoa; Chordata; Mammalia; Carnivora; Otariidae
Description: U4 spliceosomal RNA (ENSZCAG00015014877.1)
Rfam family: U4 spliceosomal RNA
About the family: U4 small nuclear RNA (U4 snRNA) is a component of the major U2-dependent spliceosome. The structure of U4 snRNA from yeast and human has been reported.
Source: RNAcentral